This 253-nucleotide ribosomal RNA is filed under the name uncultured bacterium. RNAcentral describes it as "partial 16S ribosomal RNA". It matches the Rfam family "Bacterial small subunit ribosomal RNA", at positions 524 to 776 of the family's 1533-position model. The record is from RNAcentral.
UACGUAGGGUGCAAGCGUUGUCCGGAAUUAUUGGGCGUAAAGAGCUCGUAGGCGGUUUGUCGCGUCUGCUGUGAAAACUCGGGGCUUAACCCCGGGCCUGCAGUGGGUACGGGCAGACUAGAGUGCGGUAGGGGAGACUGGAAUUCCUGGUGUAGCGGUGGAAUGCGCAGAUAUCAGGAGGAACACCGAUGGCGAAGGCAGGUCUCUGGGCCGCAACUGACGCUGAGGAGCGAAAGCAUGGGGAGCGAACAGG